GACGAACCGUGCGAACGUUGUUCGGAUUCACUGGGCUUAAAGGGCGCGUAGGCGGGUAACCAAGUCAGGGGUGAAAUCUUUCGGCUCAACCGGAAAAGUGCCUUUGAUACUGGUUACCUCGAGUGGGGUAGGGGCAUGUGGAACUUCCGGUGGAGCGGUGAAAUGCGUAGAUAUCGGAAGGAACGCCGGUGGCGAAAGCGACGUGCUGGACCCCUUCUGACGCUGAGGCGCGAAAGCCAGGGGAGCAAACGGG
RNAcentral lists this ribosomal RNA (253 nucleotides) under uncultured bacterium. Its description in RNAcentral is "partial 16S ribosomal RNA". It matches the Rfam family "Bacterial small subunit ribosomal RNA", at positions 524 to 776 of the family's 1533-position model. The record is from RNAcentral.